CCUACAGACAGACCAGCACUUCCCAGGCAUCAUCAGCCUUCUGGGCCCCAGCCCAUUUGGCUGUGCUGGCUCAGGGGAGCUGUGGCCCACACCCUCGCUGUCCUGUUCUCCCUGGAACGGCAUCUGAUCUUUGGAAUUUGGGGACAGGAUGGAGUCCAGACCCCAGUUCCCUGAGUCCUCCUCCAGGGCAGCCCUGACUUUGCCUGAUCAGAGGAGCUGGAGGAACUAUUGUCAUGAACACCAACGUUUGGCCACAGGAGCCGAUGUCAUCCACAUCCUGCUCUCCCAGAGUCAGGCGUCACCCUCCUCUGCGACCUCGUGUGCAGCAUUGGGUCAUAACAGAGAAAUCCCCUGCUCACUCAAGGACCACGUGGACAGUAGGGGAUCCCCUGACAUCCCAGGGGCACCUACUUACAGGGGAGGAUGUUCUUGCCCAGAGAGAAGAUGCAGAUGAAAGUUCUGGCUUCACAGUCUGCAAACUGUGAUGCCAUAGCAACCCCGUCCUCUGGUUGGAGUUCACUUUCAUGAUGAAAUGCACUAUUGGGGUGGUGGCUGUGAUCUUAUCAUGGUUGUGAGAUUUUUAUGUCACGCUGGAAACUAGGCAGGUAGAGAAUGAGGUCUGUGUUGUAGUAAUAAUAAAAGCCCAAUACCCCAGUGUCACCAUGGUUGUUCUGAAUAUCUGUAGCUCAAGCCCUGUGUCUCAGCCUAAGGUUUUUGGAAACUAUUCUACUUCAAUUACCAGUAGUCAUGUCUCCAAUUCAUUAGGCUGAGGAAGUUUAAAAAAUCCACCAUUAGGGGCUGUGAGCUGUGCGGACUGUAUCACGGGGUAGGCUAAGACAGACGCCAGCAGAGCAUUUGCUUCCUGGUGCGGCUGCAACAGGAUGGCCCCUUUCUUGGGUGGUCUUUGGGCAGGCAUGGCUGGAAAGGGUGUAGGUCUCAGCUGUAGGAUAUGAUCCUCCCUGUUCUUUUCUAGGAUAGUGAUCUUGCUGAUUACACAAUAAAGAGAUUAUUUGCA
This is a long non-coding RNA of Chinchilla lanigera (long-tailed chinchilla), 1015 nucleotides long. RefSeq lists it as uncharacterized. The transcript is spliced from 3 exons. NCBI's taxonomy places the organism in Eukaryota, Metazoa, Chordata, Mammalia, Rodentia, Chinchillidae. The record is from RefSeq and is a predicted model, not a curated record.